AGCAGUCGCCACGGUAAAACGAGGGGAGCUAGCGUUGUUCGGAAUUACUGGGCGUAAAGCGCGCGUAGGCGGCUUUUUAAGUCAGAGGUGAAAGCCCGGGGCUCAACCCCGGAAUUGCCUUUGAAACUGGAAAGCUAGAAUCUUGGAGAGGUCAGUGGAAUUCCGAGUGUAGAGGUGAAAUUCGUAGAUAUUCGGAAGAACACCAGUGGCGAAGGCGACUGACUGGACAAGUAUUGACGCUGAGGUGCGAAAGCGUGGGGAGCAAACAGGAUUAGAUACCCCCGUAGUCCCUGUCUCUUAUAC
Molecule: ribosomal RNA, 303 nt
Filed under: uncultured bacterium
Lineage: Bacteria
Description: partial 16S ribosomal RNA
Rfam family: Bacterial small subunit ribosomal RNA
Source: RNAcentral